RNAcentral lists this long non-coding RNA (963 nucleotides) under Schistocerca americana (American grasshopper). RNAcentral's name for it is "uncharacterized LOC124607205, transcript variant X1". Lineage: Eukaryota; Metazoa; Arthropoda; Insecta; Orthoptera; Acrididae. The record is from RNAcentral.
AGCAUCUUUGUCCAGUUGUCUAUAGUUUUGUGUAUACAAAGUGAAUUGUUUACAGUGAUGCUUGGUGGUUUUUGGAACGAAGAAAUUUUUAGUGACGUACGAAUGAUGAUUGCCGUUAUUCUUCAUUUAUACAGUGGCAGUGGAAAUUGUUUUCAGUUCUUCAGAAAGCGUUGGCGUCUCUGCGAAUGUUAAGCCUGUGGGCGUGCAGCCAUAACCUGGCUGAGAAUUCUUAUUGUGUCAGGGAUUACGAACUACUUAAUGGUUACGAAAGUAAACGAAUCUGUCCAUACGGAUGCAUAAGAUUAAAACUGUGCGCCGGACCGAGACUCGAACUCGAGACCUUUGCCUAUCGUGGGCAAGUACUCUACCAUCUACAGCAAAGAAGGGGCCAGAGAAAUGUUUUGCAAGCAGCAGCACUCUUCAAGGCUGAAUGAUUUAACUGUACAAUCUGAUGUGUAUGUAGAUUCCCCAGUGUUCACAGGUCCCAGCGCAUGGCAUCCGUCUCUACAGAGCUGCCACUACAUUGCUGGAUCUCUGCAACCUCAGUUUCAGAUAUCUUCAAAGUGUGCAGAACCUUUUGUUUGCACUAAUUGUGGCAAACAUUACCGCUUUAAGGGGAACUUGCAACGACAUGUGAAACAUGAGUGUGGCAAGUUGCCACAGUUUCAGUGUCCCUACUGCCCGAGGCAGAGCACUCAAAAGAGCAAUCUGAUUCGCCAUAUUAAAAAGUUUCAUCCUAUGGAACCGAUUGUAUAAAAUAGUGUACAUGUACUUCAGUAGUUGUUUUAUGAUUUGUUUCAAGUGUGAAACAAUACUGUUAACUAUUGUAGUACUGCUUGCAUAUGGUACUGUUGAACAGAACAUAGAUUGACUGAAUCUGGAAUGUUACUGCCAUAGUUGCUUUUGUAAUUAGAUGAAAUGAUAUUUGUUGUUAUUAAAGGCAGUGAUAAACUGCUCAGAUCA